RNAcentral lists this ribosomal RNA (468 nucleotides) under uncultured bacterium. RNAcentral describes it as "partial 16S ribosomal RNA". It matches the Rfam family "Bacterial small subunit ribosomal RNA", at positions 28 to 507 of the family's 1533-position model. The record is from RNAcentral.
GAUGAACGCUGGCGGCGUGCUUAACACAUGCAAGUCGAACGGUGAACACGGAGCUUGCUCUGUGGGAUCAGUGGCGAACGGGUGAGUAACACGUGAGCAACCUGCCCCUGACUCUGGGAUAAGCGCUGGAAACGGCGUCUAAUACUGGAUAUGUGACGUGAUCGCAUGGUCUGCGUCUGGAAAGAAUUUCGGUUGGGGAUGGGCUCGCGGCCUAUCAGCUUGUUGGUGAGGUAAUGGCUCACCAAGGCGUCGACGGGUAGCCGGCCUGAGAGGGUGACCGGCCACACUGGGACUGAGACACGGCCCAGACUCCUACGGGAGGCAGCAGUGGGGAAUAUUGCACAAUGGGCGCAAGCCUGAUGCAGCAACGCCGCGUGAGGGAUGACGGCCUUCGGGUUGUAAACCUCUUUUGGCAGGGAAGAAGCGAAAGUGACGGUACCUGCAGAAAAAGCGCCGGCUAACUACGUG